This 3568-nucleotide long non-coding RNA is filed under the name Homo sapiens (human). RNAcentral describes it as "HSALNT0022775". The record is from RNAcentral. Lineage: Eukaryota; Metazoa; Chordata; Mammalia; Primates; Hominidae.
UUCUUCCAGGAGCGCGCAUGAGCGGACGCUGCCUACGGGUGGCCGGGCGGGAUGUAACCGGCUGCUGAGCUGGCAGUUCUGUGUCGCUAGGCUUCUGCCCGGCCGCCGCCGCACAUAAGCUGCGAGGAGGAGCUUUACGACUUCCCGGUCUUCGGGGCCGGGCGCAGCAAGGGCCAGACUCUGCGCUAGCAGGCGCUGCGCGCCAACCGGCCGGCACCUGUCGCAGAAGGUGCAACCGAUCGCACUGUCGCGCAGAAGCUCCUCAAUGGCCAGCGCCAGCUGCAGCCCCGGCCGCCCACUCGCCUCAUCUGAGCCUGGCUGGCAGCCUGCUAUCAAUUACAUUGAUAGUAAAUUUGAGGACUACCUAAAUGCAGAAUCGCAAGUGAACAGAUGUCAGAUGCCUGGUAACAGGGUGCAGUGUUGUUUAUACUUCAUUGCUCCUUCAGGACAUGGCAGAAGGUAAGCAUGAGCAAAUCACUUUUUAGAGGUAACUUUGCUGGACUUGUGAAGAAUGGUGUGCAAGGUCCAGAGCGACUGCAGGAGAGGGAAGGUGGGAUUCCCACAGAGCAGGAGCACAGAUGAGCCAAGCAAGGCCCUGCUUAGAAGGCAGCAAUCAACAGAGAUGCACAGACCUGUGAGGGUGCCGGGACAGCCAUGCAACAAUGCAGCCCUUUUGCUUCCUAAGCUCACCAGUUCCCUCGCUCCACCUCUGAGAGGUGGUUUGGAGAAACACAGCCCUUCUCAAGAGGUUUGCAAGCUACUUAAGUCCUGAAAAUUUCCACAAGGCUGAGUCAAAUCUGCGUUUCAUCAUCUAUAAGAAAGGUACCUAUCGAGAACACCCUGCUGGCCAGUGUGUAAAUAUCUAAAGGAGGACUCAGAAAACACCGGGGAAGUCCAGCCUGCAUGUGGUGGCUGGGCUUCAGUGAAGCAUGGAGCACAACAGGAGUUGGGAGGCAUGCACUGCCCGAGUUUGAAGUAUAACAUGGGAUUUCUCUCCAGAGCAGCCAUGCACUGCCCAGGCUGGAAGUAUGCUCAACCACAAGGAUCAGGGCUGGGAGAGGCGCUUCGGUAGCAAGAAGGUGCCUCUGAAAACCAGCAUUGGGAUGGAGAGGGCUGAAGGCAAGUGCUGGAUGUGACCAUGGGCAGCUUUCAGGCUGGGAGCACGGAUGCCAAGAACCCAAAACACCAAAAAAACUGGUGCUUAGAACCACAGGUCCAAGAACUGAAGGAAGAAAAUGAAACAAUUUAUUUUCAGUACUGUAAACACUGCUGCUAUUCUCUUAGAUGUUUUUCUUCCAUGAUAUACCCUGUAUUGGUUUGUAUAGAUUAGCACAUUAGGUUUCAGAAGUCAUUUUAAACUCCAUCUUCAUCCUCCAUAUUUGAAAUAUUUAAAAUCUACAGAUUUUCAGGUCAAAGUUGUAGAGAUAAGUAAGCUAGAAAACAAUAAUAGAAAACAUGAGAUGAUUGGUCUCAAAUUCCAAACAGGUGACUUGAGAUGUCCUAGAGAAAGCAGCUGGAGUCAUAGCACCUUUGUCUCUAACAGCCGAUACACUCAGAGGCUCAUGUGCUUCUGUGCGUCACCCCCAAUCGCCCUGACAGGUGCACAACUCAACAAAAUAUACUCAUUUAAAACAUCCAAAUAUGUUGACUGAGUGCCUGCUAUGUGGAAAACAUUUUCCUGGGAACUCUGGGGAAAGGAAACACUCAUUUUGAUAUAGAUUAUAAUCUGAAAUCCAUCACAGCUGAUAUUCCACACGAUGGUGUAGCAGACACUUUCCAAGGUCACCACCCAUCUCACAAAAGGAAAUUAAAUCUGAUUCACAGAGCAGACCACAAAGAGCAUGUCUGGACCUAGAACCACAGCAUGUAACCUCGGAAGCAGUGAGACACCAGCCAGCAUGGACAAGCAGCAGGCACUUGAUCUAUACCAGGUGAGGGUGUGGAGACAUGACGUGGUGCAGGGACACCAGCACCCAGUCCUAGUUCUGGUCCCUCUCAGCCUUGUUAGGUCCUGGUUCCUAGGAUUCCAGGGAACAUCCCCACAGCCUCACAAUAAGAUCCUCCUUUCCUGUAUAUGCUAGCUUGGAUGGGAUCCUCUGUUCUGUAAUCAGUAUGGCAACAGAGCAGAUGAAAUAUUUAAUGGUCUUUCAUGAGCACUAAAUUUUGUUUUUUACAAACUAGGUUAGAUUCUGUCAAAUAAUCGUCUAAUGGUGUAUUCGAGUGUAUAUUAAGGAUCUGAUUCAUUCUAUACCCACUAACCAUAACCAAACAGAUUAAGUUUUCUUUCUCAGAAUCUAAUCCUUCAGUUUCUUGGAAGCUGGACUAGUUUCAGAGCAUCUACAAACAUUUCUGGAAUAUUUAACUUACCCUGAAAUAACAUAUGAUAGACAGUAAUUCCCUAAAUUAUUUUCCCCAAUUGUUGCAAAAUAAAGCAAAUGCAGAGUUUCUAGGACUAUAAAAGGAACUCAACUUCCCGGAUCCUAGUAAAGAAACAGGAAACAGCUUGAAGCUCUCUGGUUUGUUUUAUGGCUCAUGAAAAAGCUUUAGCCCAACUUGGCAAAAGAAAGGCAGGGAAAGAGUUCACAUGGCUCUGCACAAACCCAACCCAAUUACUAAUUUCAUGUUAGCCACUCUUUAUGUGGAAUUAGAGGGCUCACAGAUGCCCUGCCCUCCAAAACACGCCACAGGGAGGACACAUUCCCAUCAGCAUCAGGGGUUCAUGCUAACACAGAGAAAAUGCGUAUGACUGCAGGAGUCCAUGCUUGGUUUAAAUAGCCCUGCUGUUGACUCAGAUAUGUACAGGUAGGCAGGAACCACACACUGCACACAUAUACCACAUGCCACCACACACCAUACAUCCCACACACCAAUGUGUGCACAAAUACAUGCACAACCAUACAUACACACCAUACAUACAACACACAUACACCAUACACACAACACACACCAAUGUGUGCACAAAUACACAGCCACAUACCACAUGCACAUGCAAGCACACACAAUGGAGAAUCACUGCCUCAAAAGCUCCUCAUAUGCUAUUAUCUGUCAGAAUGUGAACCAUAGAUCUGAUAUUGCAAAAGAAAUGUGUUUUAUGCAACUUUAUUAAUACAUUUAUUUAAUGUGACUCCAUAUUCAACAGAAACAAUCCAAGAUACUCUCUUAUUUAUAAUAGAAUACUUACUUCUUUUGUGCUUUCUUUAUGGACAUAGAUACAUUUUUCAUGAUAAAAACCUAGAAUAAAAAUUACCUUUGUUUUUAAAAUCUGGCAAAUCAUUUCAAAAUGAAGAUUUUAAAGGAAUUUAAAUAAUUGGACAUGUUAACAAAAUUAUCUGACUUACUAUAUUGACAAGAAAUGCUUUUACUUGGUUGAAUGCAAACAGAAUUGCUUUGUUUCUUAAAUCAGUUUAAGAUAUGAACAAUGAUUUCAGACAGUACCAAGUCCUAGUAACUUAGAAGAAAAGUAGUAUUAUUAAUGACUGAAGCCAUGUGAAGACAUAAAUGAUUAUAAAAUACAAUUACAUUACUACAUUCCUAUGUACCCUAAUAAAAAGUUCUAUUCUUCUGUUGC